This 45-nucleotide non-coding RNA is filed under the name Schistosoma margrebowiei. The record is from RNAcentral. Lineage: Eukaryota; Metazoa; Platyhelminthes; Trematoda; Strigeidida; Schistosomatidae.
AUCCGGCUGACGACUCCCAUAUAGGACGAAACAUACGUCCUGAAU